RNAcentral lists this ribosomal RNA (517 nucleotides) under uncultured bacterium. RNAcentral describes it as "bacterial SSU rRNA". It matches the Rfam family "Bacterial small subunit ribosomal RNA", at positions 97 to 591 of the family's 1533-position model. The record is from RNAcentral.
GGCGCACGGGUGAGUAACGCGUGGGUAACCUGCCCUAGAGUGGGGGAUAACCAGCCGAAAGGCUGACUAAUCCCGCAUACGACCGGCAGACACAAGUCUGCUGGGGAAAGAUGGCCUCUGCUUGCAAGCUAUCGCUCUUGGAUGGGCCUGCGUUGGAUUAGCUAGUUGGUGAGGUAAUGGCUCACCAAGGCUGCGAUCCAUAGCUGGUUUGAGAGGACGACCAGCCACACUGGAACUGAGACACGGUCCAGACUCCUACGGGAGGCAGCAGUGAGGAAUAUUGCGCAAUGGGGGAAACCCUGACGCAGCGACGCCGUGUGAGCGAUGAAGGCCUUCGGGUCGUAAAGCUCUGUCAGAAGGAAAGAAAGGGCCGGAGGAAUAAUACCCUUCGGCAUUGACGGUACCCUCAGAGGAAGCACCGGCUAACUCCGUGCCAGCAGCCGCGGUAAUACGGAGGGUGCAAGUGUUAUUCGGAAUCACUGGGCGUAAAGAGCACGUAGGCGGAUUGGUAAGUCAG